Molecule: ribosomal RNA, 496 nt
Filed under: uncultured bacterium
Lineage: Bacteria
Description: partial 16S ribosomal RNA
Rfam family: Bacterial small subunit ribosomal RNA
Source: RNAcentral
ACGAACGCUGGCGGCGUGCCUCAUACAUGCAAGUUGAGCGCUGAAGGUUGGUACUUGUACCAACUGGAUGAGCAGCGAACGGGUGAGUAACGCGUGGGGAAUCUGCCUUUGAGCGGGGGACAACAUUUGGAAACGAAUGCUAAUACCGCAUAAAAACUUUAAACACAAGUUUUAAGUUUGAAAGAUGCAAUUGCAUCACUCAAAGAUGAUCCCGCGUUGUAUUAGCUAGUUGGUGAGGUAAAGGCUCACCAAGGCGAUGAUACAUAGCCGACCUGAGAGGGUGAUCGGCCACAUUGGGACUGAGACACGGCCCAAACUCCUACGGGAGGCAGCAGUAGGGAAUCUUCGGCAAUGGACGAAAGUCUGACCGAGCAACGCCGCGUGAGUGAAGAAGGUUUUCGGAUCGUAAAACUCUGUUGGUAGAGAAGAACGUUGGUGAGAGUGGAAAGCUCAUCAAGUGACGGUAACUACCCAGAAAGGGACGGCUAACUACGUG